This 402-nucleotide ribosomal RNA is filed under the name uncultured bacterium. RNAcentral's name for it is "bacterial SSU rRNA". It matches the Rfam family "Bacterial small subunit ribosomal RNA", at positions 355 to 774 of the family's 1533-position model. The record is from RNAcentral.
UGGGGAAUCUUGCACAAUGGGGGAAACCCUGAUGCAGCGACGCCGCGUGAACGAUGAAGCCCUUCGGGGUGUAAAGUUCUUUCGACAGGAACGAUAAUGACGGUACCUGGAGAAGAAGCUGCGGCUAACUACGUGCCAGCAGCCGCGGUAAUACGUAGGCAGCGAGCGUUGUUCGGAGUUACUGGGCGUAAAGAGUGCGUAGGCGGCGAGCCAAGUUUGGUGUGAAAUCUCCCGGCUUAACCGGGAGGGUGCGCCGAAAACUGGUUGGCUGGAGUACGGGAGGGGAAAGCGGAAUUCCUGGUGUAGCGGUGAAAUGCGUAGAUAUCAGGAGGAACACCUGCGGUGUAGACAGCUUUCUGGACCAAAACUGACGCUGAGGUACGAAAGCGUGGGUAGCAAACA